UCUUUUUUUCUUUCCCGACCUUUCUCUCUUUUCUCUUUCGAUGUUAACGACGAUGGAUUCGCCGAUUCACCUCAACUCCGGAAAAAUCGUCGGCCGAUGUUGCUUCUAAUGGCCUAAAGUGGACGGCGAGGUCCACCGGCGGAUGUUGCUCGUGUUACUGUGCUAUGUUGGAGGUAACUUUGUUAUGUGGUUUUCCUAAUCUGUGAUUGUCUCGAUGGCACCGAUGAGCCUGGUGCAGAAAAGGCUUAGCCAAGUGGAAAUGAAGAACAAGGAGGCGACGUAUCAUGCAUCGUUGGGUUACUACAAAUCUCAGAAGAUGAUUGCAAGAGACACUACCAGACUGGUGGAGCCUUUUCGGCGUAUCAGGCGUUCUUUCUCAUUCAUUCUUAUUCCUAUUUUCUCACACCUUCUUUGUCAUUCAUUCUUAUUCCUAUUUUCCUGCAUCUCUUGAUUCUUCAGUAUCUGGUCUAUUAAUGUUUGUUUUGCUUGUUUUUGAUUCAGAUUCUGCCAAAAACAAUAGAUCAUUACAAAACAUUUAACUUUUUUCUU
This is a long non-coding RNA of Camelina sativa (false flax), 549 nucleotides long. RefSeq lists it as uncharacterized. NCBI's taxonomy places the organism in Eukaryota, Viridiplantae, Streptophyta, Magnoliopsida, Brassicales, Brassicaceae. The record is from RefSeq and is a predicted model, not a curated record.